RNAcentral lists this ribosomal RNA (696 nucleotides) under uncultured Lachnospiraceae bacterium. RNAcentral describes it as "bacterial SSU rRNA". It matches the Rfam family "Bacterial small subunit ribosomal RNA", at positions 28 to 724 of the family's 1533-position model. The record is from RNAcentral. Lineage: Bacteria; Bacillati; Bacillota; Clostridia; Lachnospirales; Lachnospiraceae.
GACGAACGCUGGCGGCGUGCUUAACACAUGCAAGUCGAGCGAAGCAGUUAAGUUGGUUUCUUCGGAUUGAUUCUUAACUGACUGAGCGGCGGACGGGUGAGUAACGCGUGGGUGACCUGCCCCAUACCGGGGGAUAACAGCUGGAAACGGCUGCUAAUACCGCAUAAGCGCACAGAGCUGCAUGGCUCGGUGUGAAAAACUCCGGUGGUAUGGGAUGGGCCCGCGUCUGAUUAGGCAGUUGGCGGGGUAACGGCCCACCAAACCGACGAUCAGUAGCCGGCCUGAGAGGGCGACCGGCCACAUUGGGACUGAGACACGGCCCAAACUCCUACGGGAGGCAGCAGUGGGGAAUAUUGCACAAUGGGGGAAACCCUGAUGCAGCGACGCCGCGUGAGCGAAGAAGUAUUUCGGUAUGUAAAGCUCUAUCAGCAGGGAAGAUAAUGACGGUACCUGACUAAGAAGCCCCGGCUAACUACGUGCCAGCAGCCGCGGUAAUACGUAGGGGGCAAGCGUUAUCCGGAUUUACUGGGUGUAAAGGGAGCGUAGACGGCAAGGCAAGUCUGAUGUGAAAACCCAGGGCUUAACCCUGGGACUGCAUUGGAAACUGUCUGGCUCGAGUGCCGGAGAGGUAAGCGGAAUUCCUAGUGUAGCGGUGAAAUGCGUAGAUAUUAGGAAGAACACCAGUGGCGAAGGCGG